UCCCACCACGAAACUCAGAAGAGGGCUCUCCUCAGAAUUGAUCUCACCAGCACCCUCAUCUGGGACAUGUGGCCUCCAUAAUAGAUGAACCUAGAGAAUGGUUUUCAAUCCUGGUUGGACAUGAAAGUCAUCCAAGGAGUUUUUAAGAAGCAUUGAUAUGUCAGCUCUGUCCCGGUGAUGUUGGUGAGAGUAACAUUACCGUGUGACCUCAUCCACCUUACUCACAAGAUCUGGCACCAUGUGACUUCUGGCUCUUCCCCAAAGUUAAAAUGAUCAUGAAAGGUAAAUGCUUCAAAUGGAUCCAGGACAUGGAGACAGCCAUGACAAAGCAAGUAAAGGCACUAAGGAAGACUUCCAGAGUUACUUCAGAAAAUGACAAGAACAAUGGAAUAAGUGUGUUCAAAGGGAUGAGGAGUAUUUGGAGAGGAUUAAUGGCAAUGUGUCUUUUACUGCAACAAUUUUUAAUUCAAGCAGUUCCCAUAUUUUGUGAUCAGACUUCAUAUAUACACAAAAGAAUUCAGUCAGGAUCUUGAUAAGUUUGUACUCUUAGCUCAUACCAACAUUGAUUUACAAUAGCCAAAAAUAUAGAAGCAACUCAAAUGUCCAUUAAAUCUCCAAACUAUUGGAUAAAGAAAAUUUGGUAUAUUCAUACAAGAGGAUAUUACCUUUGUGAAAGAAAGAAAUCCUGCCAUUUGUAAAACAUAUAUGAACCGGUAGAACAUUAUCUUAAUGAAGUAAUCCAGUCACAGAAAGAAAAGUACUGUAUGAUUUUUCUUGUACGAGGUGUACAAAUAGCCAAAC
Molecule: non-coding RNA, 801 nt
Organism: Heterocephalus glaber (naked mole-rat)
Lineage: Eukaryota; Metazoa; Chordata; Mammalia; Rodentia; Bathyergidae
Source: RefSeq, a predicted model, not a curated record